Malus domestica (apple) is the source of this 90-nucleotide small nucleolar RNA. RefSeq annotates it as small nucleolar RNA SNORD96 family. The record is from RefSeq and is a predicted model, not a curated record. Lineage: Eukaryota; Viridiplantae; Streptophyta; Magnoliopsida; Rosales; Rosaceae.
UUGCCGGUGAUGAAAUCAGUUAUAAAACACACCAUCUUUCGGGACUGAAUGGCUUUUAUGCCUUGCUGACUAUCUGCAAUUCUGAGGCAA